This 1424-nucleotide ribosomal RNA is filed under the name Vibrio parahaemolyticus. Its description in RNAcentral is "partial 23S ribosomal RNA". It matches the Rfam family "Bacterial large subunit ribosomal RNA", at positions 23 to 1506 of the family's 2925-position model. The record is from RNAcentral. Lineage: Bacteria; Pseudomonadati; Pseudomonadota; Gammaproteobacteria; Vibrionales; Vibrionaceae.
GGUGGAUGCCUUGGCAGUCAGAGGCGAUGAAAGACGUAGUAACUUGCGAUAAGCCCAGAUUAGGUAGUAACAACCAUUUGAGUCUGGGAUUUCUGAAUGGGGAAACCCACGUGCAUAAGCACGUAUCCUUACCUGAAUACAUAGGGUAAGGAGGCGAACCGGGGGAACUGAAACAUCUAAGUACCCCGAGGAAAAGAAAUCAACCGAGAUUCCGAAAGUAGCGGCGAGCGAAAUUGGACUAGCCCUUAAGCUUUACACGCGUUAGACGAACGGUCUGGAAAGUCCGACGAUACAGGGUGAUAGUCCCGUAGUUGACGACGUGUGUUCAGUGAAAUCGAGUAGGGCGGGACACGUGAUAUCCUGUCUGAAUAUGGGGGGACCAUCCUCCAAGGCUAAAUACUACUGACUGACCGAUAGUGAACCAGUACCGUGAGGGAAAGGCGAAAAGAACCCCUGUGAGGGGAGUGAAAUAGAACCUGAAACCGUGUACGUACAAGCAGUAGGAGCAGGCUUUGUCCUGUGACUGCGUACCUUUUGUAUAAUGGGUCAGCGACUUAUAUUCAGUGGCAAGGUUAACCAUCUAGGGGAGCCGUAGGGAAACCGAGUCUUAACUGGGCGUUCAGUCUCUGGAUAUAGACCCGAAACCAGGUGAUCUAGCCAUGGGCAGGUUGAAGGUUGAGUAACAUCAACUGGAGGACCGAACCGACUAAUGUUGAAAAAUUAGCGGAUGACUUGUGGCUAGGGGUGAAAGGCCAAUCAAACCUGGAGAUAGCUGGUUCUCCCCGAAAGCUAUUUAGGUAGCGCCUCGGACGAAUACUACUGGGGGUAGAGCACUGUUAAGGCUAGGGGGUCAUCCCGACUUACCAACCCUUUGCAAACUCCGAAUACCAGUAAGUACUAUCCGGGAGACACACGGCGGGUGCUAACGUCCGUCGUGGAGAGGGAAACAACCCAGACCGCCAGCUAAGGUCCCAAAUUACUACUAAGUGGGAAACGAUGUGGGAAGGCUCAGACAGCCAGGAUGUUGGCUUAGAAGCAGCCAUCAUUUAAAGAAAGCGUAAUAGCUCACUGGUCGAGUCGGCCUGCGCGGAAGAUGUAACGGGGCUAAGUAGUAAACCGAAGCUGCGGCAAUAUACUUUUGUAUAUUGGGUAGGGGAGCGUUCUGUAAGCGGUUGAAGGUGUGUGGUAACGCAUGCUGGACGUAUCAGAAGUGCGAAUGCUGACAUGAGUAACGAUAAAGGGGGUGAAAAACCUCCUCGCCGGAAGACCAAGGGUUCCUGUCCAACGUUAAUCGGGGCAGGGUAAGUCGACCCCUAAGGCGAGGCCGAAAGGCGUAGUCGAUGGGAAACGGGUUAAUAUUCCCGUACUUCUUACAAUUGCGAUGGGGGGACGGAGAAGGCUAGGUGGGCCUGGCGACGGUUGUC